RNAcentral lists this ribosomal RNA (471 nucleotides) under uncultured Methanomicrobiales archaeon. RNAcentral's name for it is "bacterial SSU rRNA". It matches the Rfam family "Archaeal small subunit ribosomal RNA", at positions 871 to 1337 of the family's 1478-position model. The record is from RNAcentral. Lineage: Archaea; Methanobacteriati; Methanobacteriota; Methanomicrobia; Methanomicrobiales.
ACGGGGAGCACCACAACAGGUGGAGCCUGCGGUUUAAUCGGACUCAACGCCGGGAAAACUCACCAGGUAAGACAGCUGAAUGAUAGUCGGGCUGAAGACUCUACUUGACUAGCUGAGAGGAGGUGCAUGGCCGUCGUCAGUUCGUACUGUGAAGCAUCCUGUUAAGUCAGGCAACGAGCGAGACCCACGCCAACAGUUGCCAGCUCGUCCUCCGGGAUGGUGGGGACACUGUUGGGACCGCCUCUGCUAAAGAGGAGGAAGGAAUGGGCAACGGUAGGUCAGCAUGCCCCGAAUUAUCUGGGCUACACGCGGGCUACAAUGGGUGGGACAAUGGGUAUCGACACCGAAAGGUGAAGGCAAUCUCCUAAACCCAUCCGUAGUUCGGAUUGUGGGCUGCAACUCGCCCACAUGAAGCUGGAAUCUGUAGUAAUCGUGUCUCAAAAUGGCACGGUGAAUAUGUCCCUGCUCCUU